GAUGAACGCUGGCGGCGUGCCUAAUACAUGCAAGUCGAGCGAACAGUUGAGGAGCUUGCUCCUCUGACGUUAGCGGCGGACGGGUGAGUAACACGUGGACAACCUACCUAUAAGACUGGGAUAACUUCGGGAAACCGGAGCUAAUACCGGAUAAUAUAUUGCAUCGCAUGGUGCAAUAGUGAAAGACGGUUUUGGUUACAGUUAUAGAUUGAUCCGGGCCGGAUUAGCUAGUUGGUAGGGUAAAGGAUUACCAAGGCAACGAUGGCGAACCGACCUGAGAGGGUAGUCGCCAAGACUGGAACUGAGAAACGGCCAAGACUCUUAGGGUGGGAGGCGGUGGGGAAUCUUCCGCAAUGGCGGAAAGCGUGACGGGGCAACGCGGGGUGAGUGAUGAAGGUGUUCGGAUGGUAAAAUUCUGUUAUUAGGAAGGAACAAAUGUGUAAGUAACUGUGCACGUCUUGACGGUACCUGAUCAGAAAGCCACGGCUAACUACGUG
This 497-nucleotide ribosomal RNA is filed under the name uncultured bacterium. RNAcentral's name for it is "partial 16S ribosomal RNA". It matches the Rfam family "Bacterial small subunit ribosomal RNA", at positions 28 to 507 of the family's 1533-position model. The record is from RNAcentral.